RNAcentral lists this long non-coding RNA (41820 nucleotides) under Malus domestica (apple). Its description in RNAcentral is "long non-coding RNA (MDOM_LNC017791)". Lineage: Eukaryota; Viridiplantae; Streptophyta; Magnoliopsida; Rosales; Rosaceae. The record is from RNAcentral.
UUCUUACACACCCAUCACCAUUUCUAUCACCUUUCAAAAUAAAUGUUUUGUUGAUAGAAAAUUCACAUCAACCAACACAAAACAAAGACUUUAUGAAAUCAACCAAAACUUUGAAUCAAAACACCAAACUUUUUGUUCUUGACUAAAAUGUCAAGAACAAUGAAGAACAUUCAUGAAAAACCCAUAAAAGCUUCAUGAACAUUUUUCAUCCAAAGACAUCCCAAAAACACUCAAACUUAAGGGAAAUAACAUAUAACCAAACUAGGGUACAUAGGGGUUCCAAAAAGUUACUUGAAAACACUUUUAACAAGUCAAACAAGAACCCAAAAAAUCACCCUUUGGAUUUGGCCGAAAAUCCCCAAAAACUUGGCACCAAAUUUUAGCUCCAAUAUUCAUGCUCAUAUGAACUACAUCUACAACAUUUGAGAUGGCAAAUUUUCUAACAAAAUUUACAUUCAAAGAAACAAGAAUAAAGCUUGUAACAUAUUACAACUUUUAAAUCAAAACUAUGAACUACAAAACCCAAAAGGAUUCACCAACUACUAGACCUAGGCUCUGAUACCUGAUGUGUAAAUUAACUAGCACUCAAAUUAAACCCUCUUUUUAUCAAUUGUAGCAAUGUAUGUAAGUAGGGAUCGUUCUAGACCAGGGAUUAGGAAGGAUUGCAAAAUCACUUGGACAUGACUCAAAAACGUAAAAACAAGUUUUAAACACUAAAAUAGACUCAAAGAAUGCAAAACUAAACUUUAAAACACCAAAACAAACCAAAAGACUCAAAACAGCACCAAAACACUCAAAACUGCCUUAAAAACACAAUCUGGGCAGUUUUGGACACUAAGCACCAAAUUGGACGAAUUUGGGUUUUAACUUGAAUCAAAACACUUAAAAACACAAAGUAAAACACUUACUAACUAAUUUGACACUUUAAAACAAAGGGGGAUUGGUUUUGGACGAAUUUAAAAACAAAACAAACUUUGUAAAUUAGAACAGAUUAUAAAAACGAAUUUGAUUUAAAUGGGUGAAUGGAAGGCUAGCUAAGGGGUUCAUCUCCACACAUGUUAUACUUGCAUACAAAACGAUUUCCAAUUGCUUUUCAAUAAACCAUGAAUUCUCAAUGCCCCAAGUUAAUUAGGUCCGCUUAAAUUAACCUUCAGAUUUUCCUAACGUUAUUGAAUUGGAUGAUUGCAUACGACAACCCAAAACAUUCCCCACAAGUCCCCUACAUGAUUGCAUAAUAGAGAUACAAGCAAGAAUCAUUAAGUUCUAUGAAAACCAUAAGCAUUGACGAAGCACUUGUUACUAUGAUUGCAUGAAACUUAUGCCAAGAAUUUACUUAACGCGAUUGAGAUCAUCAACCUUUACUACUUGUGAAUAUAAUUCCAUAACGAUUAGGUGAAAUUUCCUUAUAUCCUAGCAUUCAAUUUAUGCAUGAUAAUUAAGCGUGCACUCUCAACCAACACACACAAAUCAAUGUAAUCCACAUAGAUAAGUAAAUUGAAUUCACAACUUAUGAAACGCAAUUAGAAGUAAUCAAAUCAUAACGCAAGCAUAAACAUGUAUUUCGAAUCCCCCCCUAGCCAAGGGGGGUUUAGUUCCUCAUACGCACAAAACAAAGAGAAUUGAAUUUAAACAUUGAAAUCAAAGGAAAAGAAACACCUAGAAAUUCCAGCGACGCGAACUUGAAUUGCAUGAACUUCCGAGCUUCCUUCUCCUCCUCCUUGGUGCGGCAAGGGUCUAGGGACAGGUUUAGAGCCUUAGGGUAUGGAUGCAUGGUAUGGAGGGAUGUAGUAGUGUUUAGGGGAAGGGAAUGGUGCGGCAAAGGUGUGGAGAGAGUUUGGACGAAUUUCUGGAGUGAUUUGUGAAUUGUGGUGAGUGGUGAUCUGAUUUAGGGGUUAAUAGGAGUAUAUAUAGGCACUUAAAACCCUAGGGUAAUCAGAUAUGGACUUGGAUAACCCAAAUCACAAGGAAAUAGGUCUAAACAAUCAGAUUUUGCAAGGGAAAAGGGGGUCCUAGGUGCGGCAGGGAUAGGAUAAGGUGAUAAGGUUUCUAGAAUGCCUUGCAAGGCAAGGAACUAGGCAUCUAGAAGCUAGGGUGCGGCACCAAUGUAGGGAUUUAAGGGAGAGGGCUUCUAGAAAGCCCCAAAACUGAUAGGAAAUUGCAUGAAAUCCACGGCAAGGAUGUAAACUUUCUAGAAACUUCUCAUUUGUGUCCUACAACACUUAGGAGUCCUUCUAGCAUUAGGAAAACAUGUCUCAAUCCUCCCUUGACUUGGAAUUCUUCUCCUUCUUGGAUUUGGAAAACUUCUUUGUUGCUGAAACUUGAUGCCAUUUGGAUUUAACUUUCCUACUUCAAGUAGGAAACCUUGUUUGAGUAGGAAUCUUCAUCUUCAAGGAAUCCUAAUUCAACUAGGAAACCCAUUUUGACUAGGAAUCCUAAUUCAACUAGGAUUCCAUCUUCACUUAGGCGCUUUCCUACUUUGACUAGGAAACCUUGUUCAAGUAGGAAACAUCAUCUUCAAAUCUUCAAUUUCGUCCAUCCUCUUGGCUCCAAGCAUAUGACAUUCAUUCCAAGCUCAACUUUGCUCCAAAAGGCUCCAAAAUGCAUCAUUUUGCAUACUUUGCCCUUAGAACCUGAAAACACAUAAAACUAGCUUAAAAGACUACUUUACUAAGCAAAAACACUAUAAAAGUACAAGAACGAGCUAAACUAAGGCGCAUAAAUAUGCUCCUAUCAAAUUCCCCCACACUUAGCUUUUGCUAGUCCUCGAGCAAAACAAAACGAAACAAAAGAACAAAACGAAAUAAAACAAGUAAAACAACCUAAACCUUCCAACAAUCGCCUCAGGGAUUUCCAAUGCACAUGACAUGUUAAAAAUCAUCAUUCCCACAGAUUUUAGCCAUCUUUACACUCAAGCCCAUACUUAAUCAUAGUCACUACUUACUAGUUCACAUUUAACCAACUAAAAUAAUGUUUUGAAUGUAGUAACAUGCCUUAGAGAAUCCCUCAAUUCCUUACUAGAUAUGCACUCUAUUUUCACUCAGAUUGUCUAACUACACACCCUACACUAGUUAUAUGUGAGAAGAUUGAUGUAAAAAUAAAAACGAAUGCUCACAUAUAUGUAUAACAAAGAAAGCAAUUUCCGGAGUUAAUAACAUGUUUAUAAAUAUGAUCUCAUGAAUGGAAUGCUACUACUUAGAUGCGAGAACCAAUGACACCAUAUGCUCAAACCAAUUUCAAACUCCACAAAUUGAAACACACAACACUCAAGAUUAAAGUCAAGGGUUGUAACGGGGCUCAAGGUAUUGGCUAACAAAAACAGAUAUGGAAAACAAACGUUCUUUAAAACAAUAGUAGGCAAAGUGUGGAAAUCGAAACUUAGAAUUCUCUUUAGCAUGCCGAAAUCAAAUUCAAAACAGAAGGGAAGACUCAAACAAUCAAUUAGGGCCGAAUGCAACUCUUUGGACCCUUUCUUCAACAAACAACACUUUGGAACUCUUUUUCACAUGCUCAUCAACUAUUUUGCAUGUUUUUCACAUUUUUCUUUUUUUCUUUCUAUUUUUCACGAUUUUUUUUUUUCUUUCUUUUCUCAUUUUUUCUCUUCUUUGCCGUGCCUCAUUCAAGACUUUGGCACAUCCCUAUAUCAUUAAUCCUUCCCCCACACUUGUUUCCCGCACAUAUUGAUCAAAAGGAAUUCAUCUUCCGUUAUGCUUUACUAUGUUUUAAGAACAAGGGUGUGGAUGGUCCUAAUCUAGGCUAGGUGAGGAUAAUGUGGUUAACAAGGGAAAUAGGCUAAACGAGGCUCAACGGGGUUAACACCUACAAAACAUAAUGGAAUAGGGAUAUACGGCUUUUGGGCUAUGGUGGACACUACACAACUUAAUCUUGAAUAUGUGUUAUGCAAAUCAAUGACAUGUUUUGAAUGAAAUGGGCAUGAGUUCUAGUGUUUGGUUCUAAGUGAUGAAACGCCUUCUAAGUAGCAACCAAGCAAAGAAUAAUGAGAUCAUGCAACGACUUUAGAAAACAAAGAAUGCACAGAUUUUAACUCUCCAAAUAAACGUUUAGGCUCAAGUCUCACAAGGUUGUAGCGUUAGUUUGAGUUACUUCCUUCAAGCAUGUUACAAAAACGGAUUUUUACUUUAUGAUUACAUGUGAAUUCAUAAGUUAUAACCACAACCAAGCAUAAACCAAAGAGUAAAUCAAACUUUUAUCCAUGUUUAUAACUCUCUUUAACCAUCAUGCAAUUACAAACCGAAUCCUCAUCAUUGUGUUGGAAGGUACCCUAAGACACAAACAAACACACAAAAACGACUCUUUUUGGGGUUUUUUUAAAACAAAUUUUCAAAUUUUUAUGGGAUUUUCGGAUUUUUGACUCAAAACACAUUAAAACACACCAAAACAGCUUAAAAAGGCUUAAAAACAGCAAGAAACAACAUUUGAAAUUAUGGGUGAUAAAACCCUACGAAUUUGUAUCAAAACACUUUGGUUACCCCCCCACACUUAAAUCAAACAUUGUCCUCAAUGUUGCAAGCAUAAACUAACACAAAUAACAAACAAACACACAAAACAGCAACUAAACAACCUAACAUGGCAGAAACGAAAUAACAACAAAGAGAAGGGUUUAGGAACGCAAAUCUGGAAUUGGAGUGCUCUCUAGGUCUUCCUUUGUUGAAUGCGUGGGUUGCCUCCCAAGAAGCGCUUUCUUUAACGUCUUGCAGCCGGACGAUGCUCCAUUGAAGGUUUAUGGAACCCCACGGCAUGGAGGGGUGUUUCCACAACCUGUCCUACGAAAUACUUCAUUCUUUGGGUCCUUGAAUGGGAUGGGAUAAUGAUCCUUUCUUAUUGUCAUGUUUUGCUUCUCUGAAUCAACACGAACUCUCCCACCACGUUGUCUUCGAUUAGGUACCUGCACCAUACAAGGUAACAACCUAUUAGUUGAAAUGGGAAUCGAAUUUGGAAUAGGUGGCUUACCUUUGUACGGCAAAGAAGUGGUAGCACUAUGGACAGAUGCACAAGGGUUGCACUCGGGCAGAUUUGAUGAUUUCAAGGUUGGAGCCGUGCACUCUUUGUUGUUCACUCCAAUUCCUUCCUCGAUGGUGGGUUGUGGUACAUUCUUCUUGACUAGUGUUGAAUAUUCCUGCCCUAUAUUUUCAAUUACAUUAAUAGCACAACAAGAACGAACAUCAUUAGUAUUCUCAACCGAUUCAGAAAUCUUAAAGUUAAUCAUAUCACCACCAAAUGCCAUAGUUACUGCUCCCUUGGCCACGUCAAUCUUGGUUUGAGCAGUUUUCAUGAAUGGUCGUCCAAGUAAGAGUGGUGAUGGUGGAGAGUGGGUUGAGUCCUCCAUAUCAAGCACAUAGAAAUCUGCAGGAAAAAUCAAAUGGUCUACCUGCACCAAAACAUCUUCCAACACUCCUUUGGGAUAUGCAUUAGAUCGAUCGGCUAAUUGAAUAAUAACACCAUCAUUUUUAAGCUUCCCUAGAUUCAUAGAUGCAUAAACAGAAUAUGGCAUGACAUUUAUAGAUGCACCUAGAUCUAACAUAGCAUGAUCAAACCUCGUAUUGCCAAUAACACAAGGGAUAGUGAAACUACCUGGAUCUUUGCAUUUAGGUGGUAACUUUCUUUGCAACAAUGCAGAUACAUUCUCACUUACGUGUACCACCUCUUUCUCCCGAAUCCGUUUCCUUGUUGUACAAAGCUUCUUCAAAAACUUGGCAUACUUCGGGAUUUGCUUUAUAGCAUCGAGGAGAGGGAUAUUGACAUGCACAUUUCUAAACGUCUCAAGAACGUCUUGUUCCUCUUCUUCGUUCUUGGCUUGCAAAAAUCUGCUAGGAAAGGGUACAUCCGGAGGAAUAACAUUAGAAUUAACUUGAAUUGUACCUGCCUUACCUUUAUUGGCCAAAUUGGAUGGCCUGGGUGGUUGAGGCAAGGAUUGCUCAAUCCUUGCCGUGGCUUUUGCUUGCUCCUCCUCUUCCAUUUGCAGCUUCUCGUUCUCCUUGAGGGCAGAUUUGGAUGGUUUUGGCUCGUUUCCUACUUCUUUCCCACUUCUUAGCGUGAUAGCCUUGGCAGUUUCGACUCCUCCCCUCGGAUUGACAACCGUUGAACUAGGCAACCUUCCUUGCUCACGAAAUUGCCCCAUGAACUCGGCAAUUUGUCCUACUUGCUUCUCCAACUCAUCCAUCCUUUUGUCUCUAUUUUGCAUACCUUGCGCCAUAGAAGUUAGUAAUUGAAAAAUCUGAUCAUUAUCAAUGGACGAACCUGAAUUGGUUUGGGUAGGUUGUGUGGGUGCAAACGGCUUUUGAUAGAAACCCGGAGGUUGUUGCCUAAAUGUGCUUUGUUGUUGGCCUUGUUGAGGGUCUCGCCAUUUGAAAUUCGGAUGAUCACGCCAACCGGGAUUGUAUGUAUUAGAAAAAGGGUCAUUCCUCGGUUGGUAUUGGUUGCCAAAACCCACGACAUUGAGGGUCUCCCACCCUCCAUUCUCAAUCAAUUGUGGGCACUUGUCCGUAGGGUGUCCUUGCAUGGAACAUACGCCACACGCACUUACAUUUUGAACUUUUGGCCCUUCCACAACCUGAGAAAGCAAAGUAGUAAGGUUAGCCAUUUGAUUUUGAAGUUCGGUUAUGGCACUUACCUCAUUCACUUGGUGUUGCCGUGUGGUGCCUCUUUGUCCAACACCUUCGUAUUGUUGAGCGUUCAACGCUCGAUUGGCAAUCAAAGUCUUUGCUGCCGUAGGGGUCUUGUCCACCAACGCUCCUCCCGCCGAGGCAUCUAGCAUUUGUCGUUCGAUGGUAGAAGUCCCUCGUAGAAGUAUUGCAGAAGAAGCUCCUCUUUCAUUUGAUGCUGUGGACAAGAAGCAACAAGAGAUUUAAAACGUUCAUAGUAUGUAGGAAAAGACUCACCUUCUUCUUGUUGAAUUCCACUUAUCCUUUUUCGUAGGAGAAUAACUCGAGAAGUUGGAAAAAACUUCUCCAAGAAAGCUCGUUUCAUGCUCUCCCAUGAUGUGACAGUUCCGGGAGCCAAUUCGUACAACCAAUCUUUCGCCUUCUCUAAGAGAGAAAAGGGAAAGGUCUUCAUCUUCAAGAUGCUCUCAUCCACGUUCACCGGAGUCAUGCUUGAGCAAACGACUUCAAAUUCCUUCAAGUGCUUGUUCGGAUCUUCCAUGGACAGCCCAUGGUACUUCGGAAUGUGAUGUAACAAGCUUGACUUCAAUUCGAACUCGGCAGUUUUGUCCGGAGCCGCCCUAGGGUAUUAAAUACAUAGAGGUGCGGCAUUGUCCAAUCCCGAAGCGGAAAGCUCCUUGAUCGUUCGGUUGUCCACUGCCAUGUCUUCCACUUCCUCUUCAAAUUCAGAAACGGACUUGGAACUUGCACUUGAUUUACUAGGUUCCGGGUUCUUCCUCUUUCGUCUCAACUCACGCUCAAAAUCGUCGUCAAAGUCUAAAAUAUGUUCGUGAACCGGAUUAGAACUCCGAGUCAUAAACAAGUACCCAAAACAAGAAACAAAAUAACAUAAGAAUCUGAUCUAAUAAGAAAACGAAAAUAACAAUCCAAGGGAUUAGCAAAGUUGCUAAUCCCCAGCAACGGCGCCAAAAUUUGAUGUGUAAAUUAACUAGCACUCAAAUUAAACCCUCUUUUUAUCAAUUGUAGCAAUGUAUGUAAGUAGGGAUCGUUCUAGACCGGGGAUUAGGAGGGAUUGCAAAAUCACUUGGACAUGACUCAAAAACGUAAAAAACAAGUUUUAAACACUAAAAUAGACUCAAAGAAUGCAAAACUAAACUUUAAAACACCAAAACAAACCAAAAGACUCAAAACAGCACCAAAACACUCAAAACUGCCUUAAAAACACAAUCUGGGCAGUUUUGGACACUAAGCACCAAAUUGGACGAAUUUGGGUUUUAACUUGAAUCAAAACACUUAAAAACACAAAGUAAAACACUUACUAACUAAUUUGACACUUUAAAACAAAGGGGGAUUGGUUUUGGCCGAAUUUAAAAACAAAACAAACUUUGUAAAUUAGAACAGAUUAUAAAAACGAAUUUGAUUUAAAUGGGUGAAUGGAAGGCUAGCUAAGGGGUUCAUCUCCACACAUGUUAUACUUGCAUACGAAAUUUCCAAUUGCUUUUCAAUAAACCAUGAAUUCUCAAUGCCCCAAGUUAAUUAGGUCCGCUUAAAUUAACCUUCAGAUUUUCCUAACGUUAUUGAAUUGGAUGAUUGCAUACGACAACCCAAAACAUUCCCCACAAGUCCCCUACAUGAUUGCAUAAUAGAGAUACAAGCAAGAAUCAUUAAGUUCUAUGAAAACCAUAAGCAUUGACGAAGCACUUGUUACUAUGAUUGCAUGAAACUUAUGCCAAGAAUUUACUUAACGCGAUUGAGAUCAUCAACCUUUACUACUUGUGAAUAUAAUUCCAUAACGAUUAGGUGAAAUUUCCUUAUAUCCUAGCAUUCAAUUUAUGCAUGAUAAUUAAGCGUGCACUCUCAACCAACACACACAAAUCAAUGUAAUCCACAUAGAUAAGUAAAUUGAAUUCACAACUUAUGAAACGCAAUUAGAAGUAAUCAAAUCAUAACGCAAGCAUAAACAUGUAUUUCGAAUCCCCCCCAAGCCAAGGGGGGGUUUAGUUCCUCAUACGCACAAAACAAAGAGAAUUGAAUUUAAACAUUGAAAUCAAAGGAAAAGAAACACCUAGAAAUUCCAGCGACACGAACUUGAAUUGCAUGAACUUCCGAGCUUCCUUCUCCUCCUCCUUGGUGCGGCAAGGGUCUAGGGACAGGUUUAGAGCCUUAGGGGUAUGGAUGCAUGGCUAUGGAGGGAUGUAGUAGUGUUUAGGGGAAGGGAAUGGUGCGGCAAAGGUGUGGAGAGAGUUUGGACGAAUUUCUGGAGUGAUUUGUGAAUUGUGGUGAGUGGUGAUCUGAUUUAGGGGUUAAUAGGAGUAUAUAUAGGCACUUAAAACCCUAGGGUAAUCAGAUAUGGACUUGGAUAACCCAAAUCCACAAGGAAAUAGGUCUAAACAAUCAGAUUUUGCAAGGGAAAAGGGGUCCUAGGUGCGGCAGGGAUAGGAUAAGGUGAUAAGGUUUCUAGAAUGCCUUGCAAGGCAAGGAACUAGGCAUCUAGAAGCUAGGGUGCGGCACCAAUGUAGGGAUUUAAGGAGAGGGCUUCUAGAAAGCCCCAAAACUGAUAGGAAUUGCAUGAAAUCCACGGCAAGGAUGUAAACUUUCUAGAAACUUCUCAUUUGUGUCCUACAACACUUUGGAGUCCUUCUAGCAUUAGGAAAACAUGUCUCAAUCCUCCCUUGACUUGGAAUUCUUCUCCUUCUUGGAUUUGGAAAACUUCUUUGUUGCUGAAACUUGAUGCCAUUUGGAUUUAACUUUCCUACUUCAAGUAGGAAACCUUGUUUGAGUAGGAAUCUUCAUCUUCAAGGAAUCCUAAUUCAACUAGGAAACCCAUUUUGACUAGGAAUCCUAAUUCAACUAGGAUUCCAUCUUCACUUAGGCGCUUUCCUACUUUGACUAGGAAACCUUGUUCAAGUAGGAAACAUCAUCUUCAAAUCUUCAAUUUCGUCCAUCCUCUUGGCUCCAAGCAUAUGACAUUCAUUCCAAGCUCAACUUUGUUCCAAAAGGCUCCAAAAUGCAUCCUUUUGCAUACUUUGCCCUUAGAACCUGAAAACACAUAAAACUAGCUUAAAAGACUACUUUACUAAGCAAAAACACUAUAAAAGUACAAGAACGAGCUAAACUAAGGCGCAUAAAUAUGCUCCUAUCAAUACCACUUGAAGGAAAUUUUGUGAAAAACAUGUUCAUUUAAGCAACAUCUAUAGCAUGCAAUUAACUAUUAAAAGGUGGAAUCAUGCUUGUAUGCACUUAAAAACAAAACAUUAACCAUGAAAUUCAAAGCCUAGUAGAUUGGUGAACCAAGACUCAACUCAAAACAAAGUGAGUUGAGAAAUUUAUACCUUUGUUGAUUCCUCUUUGCAUAAGCAAAGGAUAAUCACCCAAGAGAUAGGGCCUUCAUUUCUUGCUUCUUAGAUCCAUGGAUUUGGAUGGAAGAAUAGGUUUCUCCAAGUUCCCAAAAUUGAGAACCUCUAAGUCUCUUCACCAAGGUUAGAUUGGAGAAAAAAUGAGUGACCUUGGAGUAGUAGGAUUGCUAGCUACACCCUCCAAGGAGGCCGACCUCUUUAGAGAGAAAGGGAGAGACAUGUUCUCUCCAAUUUUCUCCAAAAGAAAACCUUAAUGAAUUUAGGCUAUAAAGUCCUUUAUAUAGUCCCUUCAAAUAAAUGACCUAAAGAACCAAAAAGCCAUUCUUUUAACAUGGCUGGCCAAUUGAGGGAUUUGGGCUUUUGGGCCCUUGUGAAUCUUUAUUCAUUAAGUUGUCAUACAACUUAAGUCCAUGGGCUUUGACGUUCGUAACCCAUUGGGCCUUAAGGUCCAAAACUAUCCCGAGGUCUUCAACGAACUUAUUCGUUUGAUUAAUUAACAUAUUAAUUAAUCCUUGCCAUAAAUAAUUAAACCAUUUAAUUAUUCUUACUCAUCUCCAUUGUUUCUUCAAUCUCCACCUUACACGGUGUACGAUCCAUUAGGGCUUCCACAAACCAUGAGUGACACCUAGCAGCAUAUCAUGGUUACCCAAGCUAAUCAGAAGAGGUGGAGAACCUAUUCAGUUUAGGAUUACAAAUGCAAUACGGUCUUUCUCUAAUACAAUACUCUUGACCACAUUGUUUGAUUUGAUAGUUUAUUCAUGUCUACUAUCCAAUGUGAUUCGUGUGCUUAUAUGAUUACCUUGAAUGUAAUUUGGAACGACUUCCUAAAUCUCAUUCAUACUCUGGCCAGAGAUUCUUAAUCAUAUCAUAGAGUAUUCUCCCCAAAUGGUUUAAAGGUUAGAGAUCCCUUGUUGCACAUUCACUCGCCUCCAUGGCUAAGUGGCUUAACCCCAACUAUGUCGUGGACACCCUCAAAUGGAGUGACUUUAACAUAAUCAAAGAUCAAGGACUUAACCACAAGACAACUAUGAUGCCUCAGGUCAAAUGACUACUUUGCAUUAUCACAACCAUGAGUUCUCAUGUGACAUGAGUAUGAGAACUCCUCGUUGAUCGUGUUCAGUGGACUCAUUCGCUAUUGAGCACCUACAUGCUUGUCUUGGUGUCAAUCACACCAAUGACUCGAGACUAGUCACUCUCACUAAGAGAAGACAUAGCAUGUACUGAUCUUAACGGACUGUCAAUGCCCAAUUAGCAAUCCUAUGAUCAGGAACGUUUAGGAUAUGUAUACGAAAGAGAAUGGUCUCAUUAAUCUAACUUGUUUAAAUCACAUUCUCCUAAUUACAUAUUCCCUGGACUUAUCGUUUAAGCAUAUAACAUUUAUAUGAGAUGGCUUAAAACAAUAAUCUUUGCCCUUGAUAUUAAACUAGAUUAGUUUAACAUGUGAAAUGUCCGUAAAGUAUCAUCAUAUGAUUGGUUUUAGGGCACAUUUCCAACAGAUUUUUAUAGAGGUACGCAGGACGUUCAAAGCAUACUUGAAUUUCUGCCUGUAGAAACUCCAUUCUUGCACUUCUACGAUUUUGACUUGUCCGACCUCUUUUUUCUUUAACACCUUUGAAAAUGUCUGGCCCCUCCAACCGUCGUUUUGACUUAAACCUUGAUGAAGAGGCAAUCCCGCCUUCUCCAGACAACAUAUGGUGCCCAUCCUUCAUAUCCCCUACUGGUCCCCUUACCGUUAGGAUUCGGUGAUGAAGAAUGAUAUGACAGCUAUGGUGGUGGCCAUGAACCUUGUCACUCCCAAAGAUAACAAACUACUUGCCAAACAGUCUGAUGAGUUGGCUAUUAAGGAUUCUCUGGCUCUCAGUGUGCAAUGCGCAGGUUCCGUGUCUAAUAUGGCCCAAAGCCUAUUUGCCUGAACCCGUCAAGUUGAAUCAUUGGCGGCUAAAGUGAUGAGUCUCAAGCAGGAGAUUAGAGGGCUUAAGCAUGAGAAUAAACAGUUGCAUAGGCUCGCACAUAACUAUGCUACAAACAUGAAGAGGAAGAUUGACCAUAUGCAGGAAUCUGAUGGUCAGAUUUUACUUGAUCAUAAGAGGUUUGUGGGUUUGUUCCAACAACAUUUGCCUUCGUCUUCUGGGGCUGUACCGUGUAAUGAAGCUCCAAAUGAUCAACCUCCGAUGCCUCCUCCUUAUGGGGCUCCGUCGACUACUGAGACUUCUCCUAAGCAGCCUUUGUGAAGGCUCCCUCUUGUAUUUAUCUGCUUAAUGUUCCUUUCUUUUUUAUGAAUGUAAAAAUACCUUGCAUAACUGUCAACGUUUCAAAAAUAAACCCACACCAAAAACAAUUAAACAAGCAACAAAUAAAAAUGACAAUCAUGGCAAAAUAAAACUACAGAAAAGGGAAGGUUUUUAGAAACGUAAAACUGAUUGUGGAGCAAUUCAAAAAUCUUCCUUAUUUGAAUACAUGGGUUGCCUCCCAAGAAGCGUUUGCUUUAACGUCUUCCAGUCGGACGAAACUUCCUUCUAAACUUGGAUAGGGCCCAUAGCAUGGAAUUGAUCCUUAAAUGGACGGUGAUACUUGACAUGAUCCGGCAAUGGUUUAAAUUCUAGUGUAGGUGCCUGAAUCAUCAAAAUCAGCAAGUUAGUAUAUAAUAAAAUUGAAGUUGGAGAAGAUGGCUUACUUGCUUGCUCCAACACAAACUCAAUUAUGAACACCACAUCUUUGAAGGUUGCAGGGAUAUGGGACUUGGCCAGAUUUGGUGUUUUGAGAGUUAUGACUUGUCCCGUGUCAUAAAAUCCAACUUCUUUGGGAAUUUUUGUCUCAAAUGUAUCUUCUUUGAUGAAUUCUAGACAUUCAUCAUCCACUUCUUGCUUUUGAUUCUUUGGAAAGGUUUCAAAGAUGCCUUUCUCACCCGCUUCUUCCUUGGAUUGCAUGAUCCUGCAAGGAAUAAGGACAUUUGGUGAAACGGGGUCAGGACAAAUUGAAUUUAGGCUUACCUUGGUUGUAAUGGAAGGCAUAGAGGGCAUAUGGGGCUGCGGCAAGGGUGGUUCUUCCCUUGCCAUGGCCUUGUUAUUCUCCUUUUCUUCGAGCAGCAGUUGUUCAUCCAUGUUUUGGCUUGGUUUGGAUGUCUUGGGUUCACCUCCAACCUCCAUAGCACUUCCCAAAGUGAUAGCAUCAUGGAUUUCAAAAUCUUCUUUCAAAUUUUCAAUAGUUGAGUUGGAGAGUUCACAUUACUCUUGAAUUUGUGCCAUGAACCCCAUAAUCUGCCCACUUUGCUUCUCCAAUUCACCCAUCUUCUUGGCUUGAUUUUGCAUCUCUUUGUUUCCAUUUUCAACUUCCUGGUUCAAAGAGGUGAGUAACUUAUUAAACAUAUCAUUAUCCAAAGACGUACCUGAAUUGAAUUGGAUAGAUUGUUGUAGUGGUUGCAUAGGUUUUGAAUAGAACUCCUCUUCUUGCUGCCAAUACCCAUCUUGUUGGAAUUGUUGGGGGUUCUCCCCACAUGUAAUCUGAAUAAUCUCUCCAAUCCGAAUUGUAAGCGUUGGAAAACAUGUUGUCCCAUGAUUGGUUAUGGCCUUGAUAACACAAAGCAUCUUCAUUCACAGCGAAUUGAGAACAUUGAUGAGUUGGAUAUCCUUGCCCAUAGGACACACCAUAUGUAGGGACACUUUGCAUUGUGGUCCCUUCGGCAUAUUGUGACAAUUAAGAAGUAAGUUUCGCCAAUUGAGCUUGAAUGGUAGCAAAAUCCAUGUCUUACUUCUCUAGUACCUGAAAUCAAGGAAACAAAACUAAAUCAAAUACUAUAAGUAAAAAUAAAAGACACAAAUAGAAACAAAAUCAGUAACUAAAACAAAAGACAUGAAAAAGAAACAACGGGGGAUUAGCAAAGUUGCUAAUCCCCGGCAACGGCGCCAAAAAUUUGAUGCGAAAAUUAACUUAACACACAAAUUAAACUCUCUUGUUGUCAACUUGUAGUAUAAAUGAAAGUAGGGAUCGUUCUAAACCGGGGAUUAGGAGGGCUUGCUAAAACCUCUAAACUGACUUAAAAACAUAUAAACAAAGUUAAAAACACUAAACUAGACUCAAAGAACUUAAAACAAACUCAAAGGACUCAAAACAAGCUAAAAACGCUCAAAUCUGCCUAAAAACACAAACUGGGUAGAUUUGGACUCUAACACACUUUUGGGACACCUAAAAACAUAAACCAAACAGAUUUUGACUAAUAAAACACUUUAAAGUAAAGGGGGUUUUGGUUUUGACGAAUUUGAAAACAAAACAAGUAAAUUAAAGAACUAAUGAAAUUUGCACGAAUUUGAGUAAAUUGAAUGGAUGGAAGGCUAGCUAGGAGGUUCUUCUCCACACAUGACAUACUUGCACAUAAACCAAUUUUCAGUUGUUCUUUCGAUCAAUCAUGAAACUCAACACCGCAGGUUAAUUAAGUUCACUUAAAUUAACCUUCAAGUUCUCCUUAAGUUUUUGAAUUGGAUGGGAAAACGCAUACAACAAUUCAAGCAUUCUUCAAAAGUUCUUUACGUGAACAGCACAAUAAAGAUACAAUCAAAGAUGAUUAAGCAUUAUGAAAACUAUAAGUAUUGACGAGGCACUCGUUACUAUGAUGAGCAUGAAACUCCUACCAAGAAUUUAUUUAACGCGAUCGUUUAUAAGCGACCUCCACUACUUGUGAAUAUAAGUUUAUAACUAUUAGGUGAAACUCCCUUAUACUCUAGCAUCAUAUUCAUGCAUGCAAACUAAGUGUGCACUCUUAAUAAACAUACACGAAUAAGUUAUCAAUCAAGCAGUUAAACAAAUUGAAUUCACAACUUAUGAAAUCACAACUGAAGGUAAUCAAAUCAUAUUGCAAGCAUGAACAUGGUUUCGAAUUCCCCCUAGCUAAGGGGGGUUUAUUUCCUCAUACUCACAAAGCAAAGAUAAACAAAUUUAGACAUUGAAAACAAAAGAAUGAAACACCUAAAAACGCUCCAACAAUCCAACUUGAAUGGCAAGCACGUCCAAGGGUCCUCCUUCUUCUCUUUGUUGUGGCACAAGGUGUGGUUUGAUGGAUGAGUGGUAAAUUAUGGUGGUGGAUGGAUAUAGGUGAGUUAUGGUGAAGGGUGGAUGGGUGGAUUGUGUUCUCUUGGCCAAGGAAUGAAAGUGUAAGUGUAUGGAGUGGAGUUGUGAGAUGUGAAUGUAGUGUCUUUUGAUGGAUCUUUUCUCCUCCCCCUUGUUAUGGUGAAGGGUGGAUGUAUUUAUAGGCUAGGGAGAGGACCACCAUCUAAUUAAGGUGGUAGUGGUGUAUGUUGUGGUAAUGAGUGGAUGUAAUGGGUGUAGUGGGUGAGUGUUUGGUAAUGAGUGGAUGUAAUGGGUUUAGUGGAUGAAUGUUUGGUAAUGAGUGGAUGUAAUGGGUGUAGUGAGUGGAUGUUUGGUAAUGAGUGGAUGUAAUGGGUGUAGUGGAUGGAUGUUUGGUAAUGAGUGGAUGUAAUGGGUGUAGUGGAUGGAUGUUUGGAGUUGUAGGUCAACACACUUGCACACACACAUGCUGAUUUCUAGCCUUCAAAUCUUCAAAAAUGUCCAUCCUCAUGUCUCCAUGCUUGCACUAUCCAAUCUUGGCCCAAAAAUGCUCCAAAAUGCUCCAAAUAGCACUUUGUUGCUAACUUUGUUAUUUGAACCUACAAACACACGAAAACAGCUUAAAAUACAUAAUUGACUAAGAAAUAACAAUAUAAAUGCACAAGAACAAGCUAACUAAGUCGCAUAAAUAUGCUCCUAUCAAGCACCAAAUUCAAUCAUUUGAGUGUAGUUUUAUUAAUUGGACCCUUUGUGUGCUUAGGUGCAAUUAAUUGUGGCGUUUUUGUCUUCACUAAUAGCAUGGCUUUUCGACGGCAAAGUAUCUGUGAGUGCACCCCUUCAAAAUGCAUGUUUUAAUAUUAGAAAUGCAUACAUGAAAAGUAUGAUUUAAUGAUUACGUUUUGUAAAUUGUUUUAUGAGUAAAUUAGAUUUACACUUUAUGCUUAUCAUGAUUUAUUGAGAAUAUUUUGGAAUACCAUACUUUAUUGAAUUUAUGUUCUUUAUAUCGAAUUUAUGUUCUUUAUAGUAUAUAUGAUGGAUGACUAUAUACUAUUUAUGAACAUGUUUUUACACUUCUUUGUAGUAUAUAUGAUGGAUGACUAUAUGCUAUAAAGAUGUUUUUUGAGAUAUAUGGAUUUACGUUGGAAAGAGUAUAUUCAAUGUUUUUGUGCUUAUCUAGUGGUCAUUGUUUUGCCUACGGGCAAAGAUACUUAUUUAUUGGCUUCGGGCCGGGAGAUGUUAGUAUUACGAGCAACUAUGAUACCACUACUUAGCACACUAUAUAUGUUGUAUGUUUUAUGAAGGUUUUAUGGCAUGCUAGGGUUUUCGGAAAACGUAUUACAUAUUAUGCUAUUGAGUUUUAAUAAAACUUUGGGAGUUAGUACGUUGAUAACUGUUUCAGUAGUUUAUAUAUAUAUAUAUAUAAACUUGGUCCACUCAUGUUUGUUUUGUGCCCGCUAAGGAUUUAGAAUUGAGGCAUACAAUCCUGGCGUCAAGGCACUUCCACAUCGGCAUCUUCGAGUCCCCUCGGUGUAGGACCCAUCCUUUUAUUCAUUCAAUUUUAUAUUAUUUCUUUUCUAGUGUAUAGAAUUAGUUGUAUACUCUGAACACGUUCCUCAUUUGCAUAUUAAUUACAUUGAAAUUUAUAAGUCUUAUUUAUUUCUUGUUCUCAUGCAUUCUAAUAUGGCUUCGUCACCUUCGGGAGUCGGUCAGCACGUGUCUACCCUGGUGUUUAGGAGAAUAUUAGGGUCGGGCGUGUCAAUAUUUCUAUAUACAUAUGUAGUAGUUGAGCAUUAAAGCAUUUAUUGUUCUUUUUUAUAAAUUAAAUGUCUUCCGGAUGAAACCAACUUGUUGGGAGAGAGAAAAUAAUGCCAAUGAAAUAUUCAUGGCGAUAAACACAUAUGGUUGAAAGAUAAAGAAAAAAAACCACAUAUGGCAAAAACGCAUUAUCUGUUGGCUAGAAAGCCUUGUACAGAUGAAAAUAUUUGUUGGGAAAAAUAGAAAUCCCAACAAAAUGGAGUCUAUCGAAAAAGUUGAACCUAAGCCUAUGGAGUACCAAAAUUCAUCGGGAAAACUCUUGCGCUACAUGCUUCACACAAGGAAAUGGCUGACAAAUUUUGACUUUUGUCUACAAUUUUUACUUUUGCCAACAAACUAAUUUUGUUGGUAAAGUCAAAAUUCCUAGUCCAAUAAUGAGCUGGUUUUCCUGUGAAAGUAGUGACCACUAUUUAUACAGACAAACAGUCUCUUCGAUUCUUCUAUUAGAAUCAUUCUAGGAAACCAACAUUGUCCCUCAAUUUUAAUAUAAGUGAGUAGUUUAGGAUUCAAUCUCAGUUUCAAUCGUAUAUAAAAUAAGACAUCCAAGUCUCUUCCAAAAAGACUUUUCUAAACCAAUUUAAACUCAACUAUCUAGCUCAGUUUCAACCGUAUAUAAAAUAAGACAUCCAAGCCUCUUACAAAAAGACUUUUCUAAACCAAUUUAAACUCAACUAUCUAGCCAAAAAUACACUUGUAGUUAUGCUCACAUUCAAACAUGAUAUUCAAACACAAUGAUUGAAUACCUUUUUCCCUCUCCAUAAUAUCAAUAGUAACAUCUUAAUUAUAAGUUCAAUCACAGAUUUAUACCAUUGCAGAUUGAAUCUUCUUUAGGGCUCAUCUGGAACCGAGUAUAAAAUUUGAGAAAAUUAAUGAAGCAGAAAGAAUUUUGUCAAAUAAGAUCACUAAAAUUUACGAAAAAACUAUAAAGUCUACAGGGAGGCGAGCACACAAGCGACCUUAUCUUCUUCAAUCUGUGACAUUGUGCGUGAGGCCCACCUAAACAGCCAAAACCACCAGUCCAGGUCCACCAUCUGUAAUUCCCACCUCACCAUCGAUCGACUACUAUAUGUACGCCCAAUCUUCUGCCAUUACCUGGGCCUCCUCUCUCUCUCUCUCUCUCUCUCUCGUGCAGAACGAGAAAACCUUGCUGUGAAAAAGAAGGCACAAACAAAGGAGCUUUGUCUAAACAAGAAGAACAAAAACUCAUUGAUUACAUUAAAAUGUUCUAGAGUAAGGAUUGUUGCAGGAAUCCAGGAUGCAGGGUUGCAUCAGAGUGCAAUUCACAAGCAUGUUUCAGAGUCUUAGUUUGAAGUUUUAUAAAUGCAAUCCAAGUUUAAUAGACGGCUAUGAUUGUAAUAUUUGAAUGGUGUAAAAGUUGUCAUCUGUCAUAGCAGCUGUGCAAACUGAACAUGUGCAGUCCACGUGAGAAUGCUUUGGAUCCAUGUCACGUGUGGAGCGUGUGAAGCUCCAAUGGUCUCUUGUUUUUCCAUGCUUCUCGGAUCUGCGUUCACACCAGAAUUGUAAGCCAACUUUACUGUCAAUGAAACAAUGAGAGCUAUGAACCUCCAUUCCUUCCUGCUCGGGCAGGAAAUCUCGCAGGGAGGGGUCCCUAGCUCAAGUACACAGCUCCCCGAGGAGUUGGCACUUUGGUUGAUUGUCAGGAUCUGGCUUGCCGAGAUGCUGUAAAAGGAGGACAAAGUUAGUUCUGAAAGGUGCAUUUGUGGGGCCUUAAGUGUAGGCCUUGAGGCUUACAAUCAAAACUAAGUGCUAAGGCAUGCCACUGCCAUCUCUGUAUGGCAGAUGUAGAACAAGUGUAUUUAAGCCGAUUACUUGCGUCCCAAGUUACUAUGACUUCUUGUUAUCAAAGGAUUAUCGUAGAUGAGUUAAGUCUACAUUAAGUUCUUUUCUAUGCCUUGAGAUCAAGGACUUUUAGUUCUUUAUCUUGUAUGCUUAAAGGGUGGAGAUCAAGAUCUGAUCAAGUCAUCAGUUUUAAUCAGUUUUAAUCUUCUUAUGACAAUAAAACCACUAAGUGAACCAGAUCUGAGAACUGAUGGAACUUUGGAUCAUCAAAUGACUGAAAAUGACUUGAAUAUGUACUGGGGAAUACAUUAUAACAACAAAUCUAUUAAUUGAAAGACAAAACAAAGAGAGACGGGCAAGAUUUUACCUUGUCAGGCAAGGUUAAACGUCUUGCAAUCUCUUUGUUGUUGUAGUUCUAAAGGGUUAGGUACUGAAAGAGGGAUGAAAGGUAAAUGAGUUUGCACAAGAGAAUCGAUACUACAACAUUUGGAGAAGGUAGAAGAGUUUUUACAUAGACAAAAGAUGUCUUUCUAAAGGAAGUCUAAGGCUAAAAGGGUGCAGAAUCUGGACAAAGCACAGCUUUCUGGAUAUUUGCUUGACUGAGAGGAAAGUUGUAUAUUUGUUUGUUUGAUUGGUUGAGUGUCCUUGUCUUUGAGCCCUCUUCCCUUAUUUAUAGGCGAAUUAGAUCGACUAUGUUGUUUCUGCUUUUACCCGAAAGCAACUGGAGGGUAGUGAGUCAUCAGCAUUUUUACAUGUUCUACCAUUCAGAAAAGUGCUUUUGGGUUGAGAGUUGGUUGAUUUCUAUCGGUUGUCACUUCCCUUGUAAGCACCUAACCUUUGCAUUAAAUGGGGAGCCAUCAUAUUGUCUCGAGAUAGGUAUCUGGGCGUGACUCUGGGCCUUGGGCAAAAUCUCCUCUAUUGAGCUCAUUUGGGCUUCCUUCCCUUUAAAUCCAAAGUUAAAUAUUAACCUAAACACUUCCUUUCUCUGAAAAUUUCUGCAUUUCUAUUUACUAAAAUAAUCAAUACAUUCAUCAUAUAAGCAACGACAUGGCCUCAUAGUUUGGUUCGAUUUGAAUCAAGGGGCAUUCACUGUGAAAUUUGAAUCUGAUUGAGGUCCAACGAAGAACCAGUUGGAUUGAGUAGCAAAAUGUUUGGAUCUGGAGAUAAGGUUCAAGCUACGUUGUUCACCAAAGUCAACUAUGACUUUUGGUGUAUCAAGAUAAAGACGACUUUCAAGUCUCAUAAUUUGUGGAAGAUUGUUGAAGAAGGCUAUGAACUUCCCGUAGAAACUGGAAAUUAACAGAUUGAGAAGAAGCAAAUUGUAGCUUAGGAUCUGAUUUGUCGUGAUGCUAGAGCUCUUGGCCGGAUUGAUUCAGAGUGCAAUAUUUGAUGAAUCUUUCCAAGGCUUACAAAUCAAGAGAUGGCUAAGGAUGCAUGGGACACCUUGAAGCAAAAGUAUAGAGGUGAUUCUCAGGUUCGAGAUGUGAAUUUACAAGGUAUUAGAAGGGAUUUUGAAUACGCUAGAAUGAGAAAAGAUGAGAUGCUAUCCACUUAUUUGACUAGAAUGUUUAAUCUGAUUAACCAAAUGAAAGUGUAUGAUGAGGAGUUGUCAAACAAGAGAAUAGUUGAAAAAUUGUUAAUAAGCCUUACUCUUAACAGUGCCAAUAUUGUCUUUGGGUUUGAGGGGACUAAGAAAUUUGACGAGAUUAAUCCUACUAAGGUUGUCGCCACUUCAAAACGAUUUGAGCAAAAGUUGCUUAGGCAUGAUCAGGAGAAAGAAAUCACUGAGAAAGCUUUUAGUAGUUUGCUCAUAUGUUCCAAACAUAGCUAACAAGAAAAUAGGUACAAAGGAAAUAUGCCUUGGAAGAAUAAGGAGAAGAAGGGAGAAUUUAAAACUGGUGAUAGAACUAGUUCAUUUGUCAAGCAUGGUGGAAAUAAGGAGAAUGCUAAGGAUGUAUACAAACAUUGUGACAAGCUACACUAUGGUACUUGUUGGUUCAAUGAUAAGCCAAAGUGUCAUAGAUGUAACAAUUUGGUUAUAUGACAAAUGACUGCAAUAGCAAGGUGAAUCGACUUGUUCAUCAUACUAAGCAUGUGAAAGAAAAGGCUUCAAUGUUCUAUGCUUGUCAUUCAUCUGAGGUUGUGAAGAACAAACCUAGUGUUUGGUACAUAGACAGUGGAUGUAGCAAUCCAUGACAUCACAUGAGUCCUUGUUGAUCAAUUAAUGUUGAUAAAUCUGUGACAUUCAAAGUGAAAAUAGGCACGUGGUGCCCUCCGUUUGCACAAAUUUUAUACCUAAAUGGUAGUUUUGGGCAAUGUCCCAUAAAUUGAUGAUUGAAGCUUGAUUUAGCUUAUAUUAACUAUUACAGGUUUAUUCGUGGAUCGAAAGGAUUUAGGCAAGGAGCCUAGUGGCAAGGGACGCUCUGCUUACCUGUGAGUGGACCCAUUCGAAAACUAAACAUUUUACGUUAUAUAUAUAUAUAUAUAUAUGUUAUAUAUGUUUUAUAUGCGGAUACAUAUUACUAUGUUAGUUUCUGAUGAGACUUGUUAUGAUAUUUGACAAUAUCUUUAGAUCGAUCGUUGGUGAUUUAUUUUCAUGACAUGGUCAUCAUGUGAUAUUUUGUAUAGGUAUCUUCGACCGUAGAUUAUUUGCAGGUGAUAUUUUAUCCUAGUAGACGCUAGGAUUAUUGAUUAUUAGUAGUAUUGAGUUUAGCUAGUUGACGAUAGUAUAUCCUGCUUGCUAUACUUAUGCUAGUGGAAGCCAGUAUGAUUGAGUUAAGGUACGAUUUCUGAACUUGGAUUGAAUGUUUUCAAUUGUAGAUAUUGAUGAGAUUUUCAUUAUUAUGGAAGUAGUUAUUAUUAUAUAAUAUAUGUUUUCAAAACAGGGCUGGGUUAUUAUGUUGAAUGAUGAUUUUAUAACUAUGAUAAAACGGGUCGACACAUGUUUUGUUUUAUCAACCCCUUCAGGACAUAACGAGAGUAAGGAGAACAUCAGUGGUGACGAGUGGGCUUGGCAGUGAAGCUUUCAUCCUCUGGAUCUUGAGUGACGGUUCAUUUACUGCAAUUUUACCUAUGGUGUAAUAAUGGUAUGAUCGUACCUUUGAUUAUGCAUAGUGCUGCACUUUUGUGUGUUUAAUGUUGUGUGCUUGCUAAACCCAAGUGCAGGUGUUGCAUAGCAGUAUAACUCGAAGUCCGAGUGUCAUAUUCCUCAGAGAGCAAUGAAAAAGAAUGAAGAAUUUGUCGAAACUGAAACAAAGAAUAAUGUUGAAUAAGAUGUAAUUUUUUAAAAGAAAAUCCAAUAAUAUAAGAGCACUAAGACAUUAGAGUUCCACCUUCAACAUACAUAUGUAAUUUCAUUAAUUUGAUUCUUUUUAUAACUCAAUCAAGAUUCAACUGAUCGGAUCAUAUUUAUAUAUAUUUUUACUUCAAAUUCACUCGUCUUUUCUUAGUUAGUUCCUUAUAUUUUUGAGCUAUUUACGUUAUUUUUGUGUUUAUAGGAUUUGUUAUAAAAAUGGCACAAAUCAGUUUUAAAUAAUAAAUUCGUCGAAAAUUGCUUUAGUCGUUCUCAUUCUGUCAUGGGUUAUUGGUAGAAUUAUGUCACGGAUUAUAGGUCAUGGAAGUUAGGCUAAAUUUGUUAGGUAUGCAUUAGAAAUUAUAUGGCGUGACAUCUUCCAUACCCACUGAUGAUAUACUUCCAUAUCCACUGAAUUCAGGUUGGUGCAUCACAUUUAUAUAUAUAUGAUAUAUCUAAAAGCUGGUAAGUGUGGUAGGUGAGAGAAGAAUAAAAGAAAAGUGUGAGUGUGGUGGGUGAGGCAACUUAGAAAAUCAUAAAACAAAGGGAUAAGAGGCAGGUCAGAGGGCACGGAAAGGGGAGAAUAAACUGACCAGGGGAAAAGGCUGCUUGGGGAGCGUGAGAACAGGGAGAGAACCGAGAGCUUGAGGAGAGAGCUGCCUUGCGGCAGCAGAAAACUAGAGCAGAGAGCUGCCCCGUGGCAGCUGUAGAAAAAACAGCGCGGAGAGAGAGGGACGGAAAGAAGCAGCCAAGCUGCCUUUGGCAGCUCAGAAGAAAAUAUAAUAGACUGACGGGGAGAGCAGCACGGAUAGGAGAGAGUCCAGAGGAAAGCUGCCAUUUGGCAGCUUGAGUAGGGGGAGCACAGCGCCAGGCACGGCUGACAAGCGGGGACUGAGGGCAGAACGUGCAGCAGAAGAAAAACAAAAGGGUCGUAUAUUUUCUCAAACUCAUGUUUAAUUUCUGGUUUAAUUUGAAAAUAAUGUGUAACUAAAUUUAUUUUGGCUAGAGGUUAAUUCAAAGCCAUGAAUAUAUUUGUAAUAUGAAUUGAUUACCUUCAAUUGUGAUUUAUAAGUUGUGAUUUAAUUUGCUUAACUGCUUGAUUUAUAACUUAUUUUUGUAUGUCGAUUAAGGAUGCAUACUUAAUUUACAUGCAUGAAUUUGAUGCUAGAAUAUAAGUGAAUUUCACCUAAUCGUUAUGAACUUAUAUUCACAAGUAGUGAAGGUUGCUAGUCACAAUCACGUUAAGUAAAUUCUUGGCAUAAGUUUCAUGCAAAUCAUAGUAACGAGUGUCUCGUCAAUGCUUAUGUUUUUCAUAGAACUUAAUGAUUCUUGCUUGUAUCUCUAUUAUGCAAUUCAUGUAGGGAACUUGUAGGGAAUGUUUUGGGUUGUCGUAUGCAAUCAUCCAACCCAAUAAUAUUGUGGAAAACUGAGGGUUAAUUAGUGCAAUUCACGGUUAAUUUGGGGCGUUGAGAUUUACAAUUUACUGAAAGAACAACUGAAAAUCAAUUUAGGUUGCAUAUGUGUCAUGUGUGGAGAAGAACCCUCUAGCUAAUCCGUCACUUAUCAUUUCACCUUAAUUUCAUGCUUUUGUCAAUUCUGUAAUUUAUUUAAGUUUAAUUUACUUCUCGUCAAAACCAAACCCCCCCCCCAUUAUUAAAUUAUAUUAUUUAGUUAGUUUUCAUUGUUGUUAGUCUUUUAAUUCAAUUUCCGUCAAUUUCAGUUCCUAGUGUCUAAUUUGAUUGUUUUCAUUAUUUUGAGUCAUUCUAAGUGUGUUUCGAGUUAUUAGAGUUUUUAGCCUAGUUUUGUGUCCUUGAGUCUUGUUUAAUAUUUUUAAAUUAAUUUAGAAUAGAUUAGCAAUCCCUCCUAAUCCCCGGCCUAGAACGAUACCCUACUUACAUCUAUACUACAAUUGUCAAAAAGAGGGUUUUAAUUUGUGUGUCAAGUAAUUUUACGCAUCAGCAACAUAUAGUGCACCCGAUUGGAUGAUUUGGCGAUCAUAAUUGUAUAUAAAACACACACAAAAUAUACAAAUUCUAACUAUGGUUAAUCCCAAUAAACUCAGUUGAAUUCCUUAUAGGAAGAAUUCCAAGCAUAACCUGUACCUCCAGCGCAAACUAUCAACAAAUACUUCCGUCGAAAUUACUAGAUAUCUACUCAUUUAUCUCAAAUCACAAAAGCAUGAAUGCUAAAACCAAACUAUAGGAAAAACAUGAUUGAACUUAUGAAUAGUAACCAACAUUCAUCAAUCGACAAAUAGAGAAAAACUAGAUAUUAAUUUGAACCAAUAAUAAGAGUUUAUCGUUGAUACUGCAAUUCGAAUCAAACUAAUAAAACCACAUAGUAGUUAAAGGUUUUCCUCCUAGUCUUAGCUAGGGAGAUUAGUUCUCCAUAUAACACAAUAUAGAAAAAUAAGAAACUCUAAAAGUUAUGAAAGAACAAGACUGCAUGGUUAUAUUGAGAUUGCCGCAGCCAACCCCCAUAACCCUCUUGAAUAAUGGUCAUUUAUAUCAACCCAUUAUUGAGCCAAUUAUAUCUCAGCCGUUCCUUGUUCUUUGCCUUCCCAUGUCUGUUUCCUUUUCUUUCCAUACCUGACAAGCUUAAUCACCAAUUUAUUAUCCUUGCCUCUUGGGUUAACUUGUUGCAGCCCCAUCUUCCUUUCUUCAUCUCACCGUUUAACUUCUAAGAAAUUGUAAUAAGUGACCUGACAAAAAGAUCAAGAUAAAAUGAAUAUCAAUCCUCAUGUAUAUUGUAAACCGCAAAAAGUGAACUAUAUACUUCAACCAAUGUCAUAAGGCGCUCAAAUUAAAUUAGACCACCUGAUUAAAUUAAAACAAAGGAUUUAUAACAUGAUUUUGGUCCAAUUCCUUAGCAUGACCAUAACAACACAAAGUCAUAUAAUUCCUUUCACUUAAAUCCAACAUAUUCUCAGAAAAUGUAACUUCCAGGGUGAAAUAAGGUAUGCACUCAUCAUUGACCAAUAUUACACCACAAUUUCCAUAAAUUACUAGAUAAAUUACAUAACAGGUAUAAUGAAAGGGCAUUAAACAUACUUUUGAGCAAUUAUCAUUGUGUGAAACUUCUAACUACUCUAAUGUGAUGUGAUAAUAACAUGUUUAAACUCGAGUUAAUUUGUGUCCCCAAUUGAGGAGGAUUACAAGUGAUUUCUUGUAGCAGCUUUGGAUUUUUUAUUUUUAAUGAACGUCUUUGGUUCAAAUUCUUACACAUCAUAAAUAUCUUGCUAUGGCUUCGUCAUUAAGUUAGCUUGUGACAUCAUCUCCAGAUGGGGUCAUAUGGUCAAUUUAGUGUCAGCCAGCACAUCACAGCCUCGUAAGUUGUGUUAUUGGGAUCGAGGUGUGUCACUGGAUUUUAGGAACCUCAAGACUUAUAAGGAUCUGAUUGAGUCCAUAUCCGGAUCAGAUCGCUUUCCUUGCGGAACAAACAUGGUCAUCCAGUAAAGUCGCUCAGACUUCACCUAUUGCCCCGGAAGAGGAUGAGGGCAACAACAACCUAUUCCCUUUGAGAAUGGAUAGUUAUCAAAGACCAUGUCUUUCAAAACUGAACUACGUGCUCUUUCUUUAUGUAGUGAUCCAAUUUCUUGUGGAGUAGAAGAGUCAUUUCGAAUUCAGAUGUGCAGCAUCAAGUACCGUGCCAUCAAGAUCGUAAUGAUUAUGUAUAUCAUGUGGGCACAUUUUGCAAGAGGUGGUCAUUCAUUUCUCUAAUUAGCUUCAAUCUCCACAUCCACUACUACAAAACCCUUUAUUAGUGCCGCUAUAAUAAAAGACGAGAAACAUAUAAUACUGUCGGAUAUUAAGCAAAAUCCGACAAAAAAUGGAUCCAAUGGCGGAUAUAAUAAGUGACAGAAUUGCCAGUGUCAGAAAAUGAAUUUUCCGAUAGAAAAUACUCUAAAACCGACAGAAAUUGUGUCGAAUAUAAUCGACAGAGAACUUAUUAAUAAUGAAUAAAUAAGAGUAUUCUCAAUUGGAUAAAACCGACAGAAAAUACUCUAAAAUCGACAUAACUUGUGUCAAAUAUAACCAACAGAAAAUUUAUUAAUAAUAAAAAAAAUAUAAACCCCUUUCUGAAUCAUUUUUUUCCCUUUCAAAUUGGCCUCCCCUGCAUUCACUGCAUUUCCCUUUCAAGAAUAACUGCUCGAACAUCACAGGAUGUAACAAUGGCUGAAUUUUCUGUAAGUAGAUAGCAAUUGGUUACUCCAAAGUCCAAACAUACAUUGAUAUAUAUGUUUUGUUUUGUGCUGAACACCCACAUAGAUCAAAUUAGCUAUGGAACUGGGCCAAAAAUCCUUCCAAGAGAGACACAAGCUGGGAUAUACAACAACGCGGGCAUCACACGAAGAAUCUGAAGGUUCCUGAAAACAUGGUUCAGAAGGUGAUAAUGUUGAAGCAAAUGUGGAUGAUGAAUAUGGUGAAAAGACACACUAGAAAAGGCAAAGCAAGUGUGAGUAAUACAAGGGUUUGCAUUUGAAAACAUAGACAAAAUAGAUGGCACGGUGUCAACUGGAGGACAGAACUUACAUCAGAUUUAGUUAAUCACUCCAAUACUUUUAGAUGAUGCUCCUAUAGAAAAAUAAUUUAGUACCUGGAAUAACUGCCUAAUUCAUCAAUUAAAAUUUACAAUUAGCAAUUUUUCAAAUUACCAUCUCAAAGACUCAAACCCAAAUAUUAUUCAAGGAGAUGUGUCUGUGCUUAAUGUUAUCCGUAAGACAAUAACAUGUGGCAAUUCACUUUAUUCACGGAUUCAUUAAAAUAAAAUAAAAUAAUUGGUCUAUCACAAUGUUGCAGGCUUAGUACAGUUUACAAGUCAUAUAACAGCAUAUACCACGCAUUUCAUAUACCACGUUUAAUGCAUUUCAUUUGUCAUUCAAAUAUUCACGUACACAAAUCACUAUCAGGAAUCGCUUCAAAACAAUGAUAAUGUACAGUAACAGCAUACCUCCGGGAUGGACGACCUGCAAAGAUCAGUUCACCUGAAAUUCAGAGGGAAUGACUUUUCUCGGUUAUAUGCAACGUUCCAAGGUUAUUCUUUGCCAAAAGGAUAAAAAAUAUCUGCCUGAGAACCCCAAGUUCCAAAGCGAACGAGCCUGACAGGAUUCAAGUUGAAUUCCAUCAACGGCAUCCGGCAAUCGCAAUCGAACAUGUGCCACCAGAUCAUGCAAAUUCACCACCAAAAUUAACGCCAAGGCUAUUAGCAUCAGGACCAACGACCUUAGCAAUAGUCUGGAAUGACAAAAAAAAAAGAAAAAAAGAAAAAACAGAGUUGUAUAUCGUUAGUAAACGGUUCCAUCCAAUUGGAGAGAUGAGCAGUUGCCAAUUUCAUCAGGAAUUUAGAACAAAAACUGAUCGUAAUACAAAUAAUUUAAAACGUACUGGUUUCGGAAUGUUGCUUCUCGAAUUGUUCAUCCAUGGUGAUUGAAGUGAGAAGGAGAAGGGGAGAAGAAAAGGAGAAGGAAAUGAGGAGAGGAGAAAAGGGGGAGGAAGGGAGGGAAUGGCGCAAGGAAGAGAUGGAGAGGUUUUAUUUUGGAAAUUUUUUUAUUACGGUUAAACGAAACAUUUUUUAAAAAAAAAUUGUUUCCUCGCUAAAAAAAUCCACAUUUAACGGUUUUGUCGAAUAUGGCCCCGAGCAUCACACCCUCAGAUCGGUUUUCUCCUCAAACUUUCGGUCUUAAGAUUCGAAAUCCAAAGCUAGUUCCCAAGAACCAAAUUCGUGCUAGGUUGGGAAUAUACAAUAAGGCUUACAAGGCUUACAUCCAAACUCCCUUGGAGGAUGAUGUUAUAGAAUAAAAUUAAAAUUUUCAUUGGGAUUGUCAGUUAUAACCGCCAGAAAAAAAAUGGUGGCAAAAAAUACCCCAAAAUUUAAAAUUCCCCCCACCCCACCCAAAUUUUGUUUUAAAUUUAAAAAAAUAAAAUAAUAAUUUUUUGGUUUAAAUAAAUAAAAAUAAAAAUUUAAAAUUAUUUUUUUUUAAAUAGAAUACCAAAAUAAAAAAAUUAAAUAAAUUUAAUUUCCAUUUUUUUUUUAAAUUUAAAAAAAAUAAAAAUUAAUUGUUUGGUUUAAUAAAUAAAUAAAAAAUACUUUAAAAAAAAAAAUUAAAAAUUUUAAAAUUAAUAAAUUAAAUUUGAAUUUUUAAUUAAAUAAUAGUUAAUAACCCAUGUAAAAUAUGCGAUAAAGAAACAAAAAGAUAAUUGUACAAUGAAAAUGUCAUGACACAAACUAAAUAUUGUCUAAUCAAUACUUGAAAACACAUAAAUAAAAAUUUAGCACAAAUUACUUUUCCCACUUCAAAAUUUAGGCAAAUUUAACGGAGAUAUGCAUUCUACGAAACUAGUUUCCAUGAUCUAACAGUCAAACUUGUUUGUAGAUACAACAAGAUCUCAUACGUAAAAAAUCGCAAAAAGAAAAAAAAAAAACAUUCAGAGAUUAGGUAACGGAACAAAAGUUUUCGACAGCUAUAAACAAAAAAACACAAUUUAACGGUUAUUUUAGCUCCGAUUAUGAUGAUUCUUUUACAGCUACACUCCUUGACCCUAAGAAUGCAAUGAAUGAAUUCGAUCUUCAAUUAGUAGAUGCCAUAAAAUCUUAUUUUAUACUUACUGGAAGUAUAAUAUUAGCUCUAAGUGUUUGUUUAAUCUACCGCUUUGACGCGAUAUGCAUUCUACUUUUUCAACGAAACAUCAAACUUAUUUUACGUACGAAUUUUCAUUAAUUUUAAAUUCAAUGAAAUUUUUUUUUACUUCGAUUUUAAUGAUUUUUUACAGCUACACUCCUUGACCAUAUAAGAAUGUAAUGAAUAAAUUUGAUCUUCAAUUUAAAAUAUUUACACUACUGGAUAUCUUAUUUUAUACUUAAUGAAAGUAUAACAUUAACUUUUAAGUGUUUAUUUAAUCUACCGUUUUAAUGCGAUACACACAUUCUAUGAAAAUUUUUUCAAUGAUCUAACCAAAUCAAACUUGUUUGUAACAACUCCGAGAUCGCAUAUAUUAAAAUCACAAAAAUAAAACAAACUUUUAGGUAACAGAACAAAAUUUUAAUGAAAUAAAUUUAAAAAAAAUUUUUACUUUUAAGAUAAAGAUUUUUUUACAUGGUUUAUAAAAUAUAAUUGAACCAAAAACAAUAAUAUUUAAUGGAUAAAGUAAAAUCUAAUUUUUUAAUGGUUAUUUCCAGCUCCGAUUAUUUAAUUUUUAACAACUACAAUCCUACCCUUAAGAAUGCAUUGAAUUCGAUCUUUAAAAUUUAAAAUAUUUACAACUAGUGGAUACCACAAAAUCUUAUUUUAUACUUAAUGGGGAAGUAAUUAACUCUAAGUGUUGUUCAAAUCUACCGUUUUGAUGCGAUAUAACGAAAAUGUUUUUCAACGAUCCAACCGUCAAAUUUGUUUGUACACACUCCAAGAUCGCAUACGUAAAAAAUCGCAAAAAACAAACAUUUAGGUCAGGAUUAAAACGAACAAUUUAAACGAUUACAAAACGUUUUUACGAUUUUAGAUUACCGCUACAAAUAAGAAUGCAAUGAAUGAAUUCGAGCUUCAAUUUAAAAUACUUACUCUAGUGACAUUAACUCUUAAGUGUUUGUUAAAUCUAUCAAUUUGAUAGGAUAUGCAUUCUACGAAACUAGUUUCAACGUCAAAUAAAUUCGAACAUAGCAUUUGUAAAAAAAUCGCAAAAAUAUGAAAAAAUUUCAAAUAACAAAAAAAAUAUUUCAAAAAAAACAUAAAAAAAAAAAAAAAAUAUUAUUUAGAUUAGGUAAUGGGACCAUGAGUGAAAAAAAAAUUCAGAGAUUAUUCUGGUUCGAUCUGUUAUAUCCGACAGGGUCAUGAGUGAAAAAAAAAUAUUUAAACCAUGUGUUUAUUUAUUUAUUUAUAAUCAAUAUAACAUUUUUAAAUAAUAAAAUAAUCAAUUUCUAUCGGUUAUAACCACCACUGUUAACUUAAAAACCGUUGGAAUAUGUUAAAAAUAAUUUAAAAAAAGAAUUCAUAAAUACUUGCGGUUAUAACCGACAUUAUUUCAUUGUUAUCCGACACUAAAUAUCCGCUAGGAAUUUAUGUCGUAUAUAACCGAUAGGAUUUCAUUGUUAUUCAACACUAAUUGAAUGAUGUGUCAGAUAUAUUUUAUCCGACAUAAUGACUUAUUAAAUCGCCACCAUCAUCUGACACCUGAAGCUAAUAUUGUAGUAGUGAUCCACCAAUCUCGAGGCAAAGUCUUUUAGUAUUCAAUGGUUGGAUCGCUUGGCACUUUGCCGUUAAAUAGCUCCCUCUAGGAUGGGUUUCAUAAAACCUUCCAUUCUCCUGCCAACACCAUGGAGCCUCCUUUAUUCCCUAAUCUCCUUACUAAGCCUAGUUCCUUCUUCGAUCAUAUGAGGUUUAGGAUAUUAAAACCAAAAAACCAUGUCUUUGCUAACAACCUAUGCCUAAAAAGAUUAGCCAAAAACAAGUUGAGCCAUAAUCCUAUAGUAGCAUCCCUUAUUUCUCAUUAUUUGUUCCAUAACAUUCAUUCUUAUGCAAUAUCCUCCUUGCAAUCUUUGCAUGCGGGUUCAAUCUUAGCAAAGUGUUGAGAUUCUUCAGGGGGUCCUUCAUCAUUGCUUUCUUCCUCAUAUUUGGGAGUGGAUGAAGGUGACGACUGAUCUUCCUUAGAGUUGAUGAUCUCGACCAAGUUUGCUCCAUAGUCUUUGUAGGUAAGUCUUUUACGUCAGGGGUGAGAGCUUGUCUCCCCCAAGUUGUUGUACUUUGUUGUGCCUUUCUCUUGGGACUUUGAUAAUAAACAUGUGUUUGAAUAAAAACUUAAAAGUAAUUGGGCUUAAAAAAAUCUUAAUCUGAUAAAUCUCAAAGUAAACAGUUUUAGAGAAAACAAGUAACAAAGUGGAAUACGAGUAAGUUUGUGGGCAUGGGAAAGAACUCAAAAGCACCCCUCAGUAAAGUUGAUUCGAAAGAACAUUAUCUCCCAAACUUAGUAUCCAUAAAGGUUCUCACUGCAAUAUCCAGAGUACCAUCUACUCGAGUACCAUGAAUUAAAUAAUAAACUUGUGAAGAAUCUUUUACUCUGUACUUGUCAAAUGCAUUUAUCGGAUUAAAGAUACGAAAACUUUGAGUUGUACUUGAAAUAAUUCCAAGAAGAACAAAACAAUUUUUUUUACCUUGCCCCAGUUCUUAGAUCAAGGAUUCUAAUACCUAAAAUUGGUGCCUAAGGGAAGAUUUUUGCAUUAGCCCGAAUUGCAUGUCCAUCACCGGUGAAGCCUAGAAAAAAUUGCUUUGAGGGCUUAGUCGUCGGCAUGUGGGUCGGAAACACUUUUUGAAUCCUUUUGUCAAACCUUAUGUGUCAGACCUAAGCAUUUCCAAUUGGACUACCUUGAAUGGUGUGUUCAAAGCUUUCUGCAUAUCGAAGAUCGUUUGGGAUAAAAUUCCACAUGGGGAUUGCCUAGUUUGGAUGACCAUUUGAACCUGCUAAGAUAUGAUGUCGCAGAACAUACUUAGUAUGUUGGUCUAGGAUAGAAGUAGUCGUACUUAGGGGUCAGGGUUUAGAGCCACCCUUGGAUGAUUUCUAGAUUGCCCAAUGUUGUAGAGCCUGUUUGAAUGUUAUAACCCACAACCUUACUGGUUGUACAAACUUUUUGGACGCCGGAUGGUGCACUGGACUCAGGACGCCAUGAGCCCCCAGCCCACCAAUUGUGACCACACUUAUUACAGUUCGAGUCUCCUAAGCUGCUAACUGUAUUAUACAAGAUGAGUUAAAGGAAACUCCUAUGACAAAGUCACUUUGAAUUUUUAGGUGCGAAGUUUUCAAAGUUUAUGCUUUAUUCGAAUGAGUGAGGUAUUCCUGCAUCACCAAAAAAAGGAAAGAAAGACACAGACAUAAAACAGAUUAACUGUAAGAAAAUAGUUAUUAUACACUUUGAAAUACAAUAGCAUUACAAAAUGUGGGAAGCCCAAAACUAAAGGUAGGCCAUGAUAAGAAAACAUAGUACAAAGGCCAAAAAGUAAAAUUAGAAGAUGUCACUAGUAGAAAAAAGCUCAUCUAUCACGGUCGAUGCCUGUGGUAGAUUGUAGUCCACCACGGACACUGUGCCCGUUAGUAAUCUGGAUGUGAUAGAAAGUCACAGAUUCUAUCACGGGUUAUGCCCGUUGUCAAUUGUAAUAUAACCACGGAUUGGGUCCGUUGUAAAAGCAGAUCUAACACCACGUGCACCAUAACCGUUGUGGAUUACAAAUUGAUCACGGCUAAUGCCCGUUAUAAAAAAAAUUUCAAAAAUAAAAAAAAAAAUUAAAUAUUGUUUAAUAAAUGUAUUAUAUAAUAUUUAUAAACAAAUUACUCAUUUACUACAAUAUAACAAUUAAUAAAAAAAUCAUAGAUUCAAACAUUACAAUCAUACACUAAACUAAAGCUAACAAAAAUAUGAUGAGAUAUACAAAGAAAUACCAAACUAUCCAGAGAUCUUCAACAAAUAAGGACAUUGUCACUUUGAAGACUUCACAUUUCUUUGAACACCUCCAAACAAAGGACCUUGAGAGCGAACUACUGCCCCUAAUGCUUGAGCCUCAACAAUUGUUGCCUCUCUCUAUCUGCAUGGACAUAAGCAUAUGGAUCAAGAAAAAAAAUCUUGUACUUGUAUAGGUAGAAAUAUACAUUUGAUCUCAAUCAAGAAAAGUGAAUAGAACUCUUGAAAAAAAUAUAUUAAGGGGGGUCCUCUGAGAAAAGAUAAACACAUGAUAGAUUAUGAAUCUACUAAACAGAGCCACUACAUAUAUAUUUAUGCAAAUAUAUACCAUACAAGAUUAGCCAACCCAAUACCAUAAACAAAGAUUUUGUUUUUAUAAACAUAAACAAUAGGAACCAAACCAAUGCUAUAAGCUAAAUCAUUAAUUAGCCCAGAAAUCAAUAUCAAGUUCUUACCUUGUCUGCAAGUUCUUUGUGCAAAUAAAAAGGGUAAACUGCAAAGCUACAAAAACCACAGUUUAGAAAACAUCACUGAAAAUUUGUAUUAAAAACUCAAACAUACAAAAACUACAUGUGGAAAAAAGUGCUAGAACGUAUCAAAUUUUGAGACUUGAAAUAUUAAUUUCAUUAGACGACUAAUUCACAAUUCGAUGAUAAGGAUGAUUAAGGACCAAGAAGUGGAAAUUUGAAUCACAAGUUGGGAAUGGAAUAUGUUUAUUCCCCAUGAGGGGAACACAGGUUUUUUUUUUUUUUUUUUUUUUUUUUUUAACUCAAUGAUUUCAGUUGUCAAUGUGAGAAAAGUUCAAAGUUUAAACAAGCAGGCAUUCAAAGAAUAGAGUACAAAUAGUAGACUCAGAUUUAACUUCACUUUUACACAUUUAUGCACUACCUAAAACUAGCAUGCAUUGGAGUGUAUAAGCUAAACUAAAUAAAAACUCGGUGUUUUAAGAUCCAUCAUAUACAAUUAUAUCCACCAAUAAUAUACGGACUUUAGAGGAAACUCAAGACUACAAAAUGAGAUUUCGUAAGCUCUUUCUUACACUCAUACUCACUCUGGAUAUUUCUCAAAACGGGCACUAAUCCACAGAAGGAACUCGAAGCAAAAAGCCCAGAUGAAGAAAUAAACUUCUUCACAUUGAUUCCGGAUUUCAAUCAAAGAUUCAAGCACGCCCUUUGUCCAAUACCCACUCUGGCAUUCCUUCAAGCACAUGGUGGGUACUUCGUAAUUACAAUCAACUCCAUCAUACUGAAGGAAAAAUUUUGUCCUAGCUAAGAACAAGUAAGAACAUUUGAAUACAUAUUGAUGCGAAAUAUAUAAGCACACAAAUUAAACCCUCUUUUUAUCAAUUGUAGUAAAGUAUGUAAGUAGGGAUCGUUCUAGGCCGGGGAUUAGGAGGGAUUGCUAAAUCACUUGGAAACUGACUUGAAAACGUAAAAACAAAGUUUAAAACACUAACUAGACUCAAAGAAUGCAAAACUAUACUUUAAAACACUAAAACAAACCAAAAGACUCAAAACAGCCCCUAAACACUCAAAACUACCUUAAACACACAAUCUGGGCAGUUUUGGGACUCUAACACAAACUUGGACGAAUUUUGGUUUUCUAAUGAACUAAAACACUUAAAAACAUAAUCUAAGACAAGUUCUAAUUAAUAUGACUCAAAGAAAUAAGAUGGGGUUGAUUUUGGAAGAAAAUACUUAAAUUAAGACAAGAACAAAGUAAACCAAAUUCUUAGACAAAUUUAAGUGAAUCAAAACAGAUUGUAAAAUGAAUUUGAAUGAAACUUAUGGAUGGAAGGCUAGCUAGGAGGUUCUUCUCCACACAUGUCACACUUGCAUACAAAACGAUUUCCAGUUGCUUUUUGAUAAGCUAUGAAUACUCAACGCCCCAAAUUAACCGUGAAUUGCACUAAUUAACCCUCGGUUUUUCCACAAGUUAUUGGAUUGGAUGAUUGCAUACGACAACCCAAAACAUUCCCUACAAGUUCCCUACAUGAAUUGCAUAAUAGAGAUACAAGCAAGAAUCAUUAAGUUCUAUGAAAAACAUAAGCAUUGACGAGGCACUCGUUACUAUGAUUUGCAUGAAACUUAUGCCAAGAAUUUACUUAACGUGAUUGUGACUAGCAACCUUCACUACUUGUGAAUAUAAGUUCAUAACGAUUAGGUGAAACUCCCUUAUAUUCUAGCGUUAAAUUCAUGCAUGAAAAUUAAGCGUGCACUCUCAACCAACAUACACAAAUCAUUUUUUAUACGAUCGGAUAAGUAAAUUGAAUUCACAACUUAUGAAUCACAACUGGAUGUAAUCAAAUCAUAUUGCAAGUAUGAACAUGGUUUCGAAUCACCCCCUAACUAAGAGGGGUUUAGUUCCUCAUACUCACAAAGAAAAGAUACAUAAAAUUAGACAUUAAAAUCAAAGGAAAGAAAACACCUAAAAUGCUCCAACUUGGGUAGCAAGUGCAUCCAAGAAUUCUCCUUUGCUUGCUUGCGGCAGAUUGCUUUGUGGACGGAUUUUUGGGUAGUUUUAUGAUGUAGAAUGGAUGGGGAAUGGUAUGGAAAUGUUUAGGGUAAGUGUGGAGGAGUGUUUGAGGGUUGGAGGGUGGUGGAGAACUAGGCAAAGAGGGUGGAAGAAGGUGGAGUGGCUGUUAUGUUUUUCUAGGCACUAGAAUGGUGUUUUUUGGGGUGUUUUUGCUACCUAGGGUGAGUAUGGACGAAUUUCUGUGAUGAAUGGUGAAUAUGAGAGUGUGAACCCUUUGCCAAGGGGUGUAAACAUGUAUAUAUAGGCCCCAAAAACCUUAGAGAAUCAGGUUAGGCUAGGGAGAAUGCACGGCAAAGAGUGUAUGUGGUGUGCAAUGGUCCAAGGGUGAAAAUGAAGUGAUGAUGCAAAGUGUGAAGGGUAAAAUGGAGUGGUCUUGUAGCUAGGGGCAUGAAUGAUUGUGUACGUUGCAUAGAGAUGGAAAGGGAGGUGAAAAUGUGUCAAUAAAUGGGUUAAAGGUGCAGCAACAUGUGGUACACAAGGCAUGGGAUUCCAAAUGUGAAUGAUGGAGCAUCAAUUGGUGCAUGUUAUGGUUGUGAAAGUUGUAUAAAAUUUUGUGGGUGAAGGGAACAAGAGGUAUCAAGCAAUUAAGUGUAAUAAUUAAAUGAAUUGAAGCAUAAGAUCAGAAAUUAUGUAGGGGACAAGAGUGAUCAAGCAUGGCAUGGGAAUCCAAAGGGAAUUCUAUGUUGUUUUGCAUGGCAAUGAAGGCAAGUUAGGGUGACAAAUUUUUGGGCUGAGUUCUUCAUCUUUUGGACCAUAAUUCUUCACAUUCUUGGCCUCUUUAGUUCUCAAAUUCGUCCAUCCACUUUGGCCCAAAUAUGUGACAUGCAUUCCAAGCUCCAUUUUGCUCCAAAAUGCUCCAAAAUGCAUCUUCUGCCUACUUUGUCCAUAAAAUCUGAAAACACACGAAAAUGACUUUAAACAUUAAAAUAACUAAGGAAACACGACAUAAAUACACAAGAACAAGCCAACUAAGUCGCAUAAAUAUGCUCCUAUCACAUAUGCAAACUAUUAACACAUUAAAGUAGGCAUGCAUUAAAAAACAAUUCAUAAAACCCAUGACUUUCAAAGCCUAGUGAAUGGUGAACCAAAAGACUCUUUAACAACAUUAAAGAGAAUGAAGAAUUUAAAGAUUCUUUACCCUUGAAGCUCAUCCUUGUUUACACAAGGGAUUCACCCAAGUGGAGGGCCUUCAAGUCACCUCCAAGCUCCUUGGAUCUUGCUUGUGAUUUCCUUCUCCUUUUGUGCUCAUUUGGUCCUUGAGGAUGUGAGGAAAGGAUCUCCAAAACACCAAAGGUUUGGUGUCUCUAAGUCUCCACACCAAGGGUGAGGUGUGAAGAUGAAAUGGAUGACUUAGAGAAGAAAAGAUUGCUAGAUAAAUCUCCUCUAAGUGGCCGGCCUCCUUGUUGAAAAAGAGAGAAUAGGUUUCACCUCUUUUCUACAAGAAAAACCCUAAUGAGAAAAAUAACUAUAAAGUUGCUUUUAUAACACUUUUCUUAGGUGAGUGGCAAACUUGCAAUUAAGCAAACCUUCACCCUCCCUCACCAUGGCCGGUCUAUUUGUUGUGAUUGGGCUUAUUGCCCAUUUUGUUUUAGUUGUCAUACAACUUAAACAUAAUGGGCCUUGUGGACCAAAACACUUUUGGGCCCCGAAACCCAAAACCAACUUAAAAGCCCAAUACGAACCUUUCGUAAAAUUAAUUAACUAAUUAAUUAAUCUUGACCAUUCUUCAAUUAAACCAUUUAAUUGCAUAUCCAUUUCAUUUAAUUUCUUCACUUUCAUCCUUACUCGGUGUACGAUCCAUUAGGUUCCAUUUAGCUAGGUAGUGGGCGAUUGUUACUCUUAACGAUCGAUUGUGAAUUGAAACCACAUUUCAAUUCUCCCUUAAAAUUAGUGUUUGCUAAUCAUCAGGGCUUCCACAAACCAUGAGUGACACCUAGCAGCAUGUCAUGGUUACCCAAGCUAAGUAGAAUUGGUUGGAGAACCUAUCCAGUUACAACUACAAUGCAAUACGGUCAUUCUCUAAUACAAUACUCUUAAUCACAUUGUUUAAGUGAUAGUUUGUUUCAUGUCUACUAUCCAAUGUGAUACUUCUUCAUAUGAUUCUUUUGAAUAAGAUUUGGAACAAACUUCCUAAGUCAUAUUCAUAUGCUUUGGCCAAAGACUCUCGAAUCACAUCUUAAAGUAUUCUCCUUCCACCAUGGAAGGUUAGAGAUCCCUUGUUGUGCAUUCAUAUGCCUACAUGACUAGAUAGCUUGACCCCAACAAUGCCGUGGACACUCCAAUGGAAUGCCUUUGACAUGAUCAAAGGUCAAGGACCUAACCAUUAGACAUCUAUGAUGCCUCAGGUCAAAGGACUACUUUGCAUAUUGCAACUAUCGAGUUCUUACAUGACAUGUAUGUUCAAACUCUCUUUUGAUCGUAGUUCAGUGUACUCGAUUACUCUUUCGAGCACCUAUGUGUUUGUCUUAGUGUCCAACACCAAAUGACUUGAGACUAGUCAUACUCACGCUUGAGUCGACAUAACACAUACUAACCUUAGCGGAUUGUCAAUGCCCAAUUGGCAAUCCUAUGGCUAGGAACGUUUUAGGAAUGAACAUAAGAGAAAGGUCUCGAUAAUCUAACUUACUUAAAUCACUUGUCUCUUAGAUCAAAUACAUCCCUUGGAUUCCCUUAUUGCUUAAGCACAUGAUACAAUAAAUAGUGAUUAACAAUAAGCUUUGCCUUUCAUUAAACAUAUAAAAGUUUAAUACAAUAAGUAUUCCGAAAGCUAUUACAUCAAAUAAGUGGCUUUGUGGGCAUACUUCCAACACAUACAUGCUAUAUAUUUAUCAAAACUAGCAGAAACCACCAAUACAAAGGCAAAACAGAAAACCCAGAAGAAAACUAAAGCAACCCAUCAAAUCAAACACGAAGACAGCCUGUAUCAACUAACACUAAAAAUAAGUAAGAACUAACACUAAAUUAGAAAACUUACAGAAAUCCCAAAACUGAAAGUUUUUAUUUUGGAAAAACACUUACACUGGAUGACAGCCCACGAGGAGACGGUCAUUUUUACCUGUUAGGUCAAGGUCCAAUUCUGGUAGGCUUGGCCGGAAAUUGGCAGAAAAACACACGGUCACCAUUUCUUGGAUCUAAAAUUGAGGAAAUUCGGCUACAAAUUUGUAGAAACUAACUUGGGGGUUGGAAAAAGGACAGGAAGAGCAUCCUGGAGGUAUAAUUGAGGGUUGUUGGUGACAUGUGGACAACAUCGCUAUUGCGUGAAAGAGAUGAGGAAGAGAGAGGAUACGAGAAGGGGUAGAGAGAGAAUUAAGGUGAGAGAGGGGAGUUCGACGUUCGUCUCAAAGAAAAAGAAAGGGAGAGAGAAGAGUCGAGUGUUGGCGUUUGAUCUGAAAUUGGUAGACAGGGUAGACGAAUCCUGAGCUUGGAAAUAUAUAACCUCAUUGAUAAUAGGAGGAAUAUGAAGAUACUUGGCAUUUCCGCUACUAGAAUUAUAUAAGAUGGAUCUUUUAUCAGAGGUAACCAUAAGAAGCUCGUCACUUUCACAAAAUGUCAAUAAAUUGUCAUUGCCUUUAAGGGGUCCAACAGUUAGGAUUUUUGUCCAUGAACUCUUAACUCCUUCAUAGUUGUCCAUUACCCAUAUUUCAAGUACUUCCAAUAAUCUAGAAUCCUCACAUGGAUUGUAAGGAGAGCAAAAUGAAGCAAUGGAUUCAUUAUACAGAAACAUAUUAUCAAACUUAAAACCAGAUUCCCUUCUAGAAGGCAAUUGUAUUAUAUGAAAUUUCUCAUCACCAAACUCAAAUGAAAGUACGUAUUCCUUGCCAUCACUUGCGAACCAAUAACAAAGUAUGCAAUCCUUGCCAUCACUUGCAAACCAAUAACAAAAUCCCUUCAAGUACACUGAACACGAACAGUGGUAGGUAUAACUUGAUAUCUUAAUCUUGAUGGGUGUACACCUCAGCCGUGUGAGGAAGAUCAAUACAACAACAACAACAAAUCCUUUUCCCACUAAGUGGGGUCGGCUAUAUGAAUUCUAGAACGCCAUUGGGCUCGGUACUGUGUCAUGUCCUCCGUUAGAUCCAAGUACUCUAAGUCUUUUCUUAGAGUCUCUUCCAAAGUUUUCCUAGGUCUUCCUCUACCCUUUCGACCUUAGACCUCUGUCCCGUAGUCGUAUCUUCUAAUCGGAGUGUUAGUAAGCCUUCUUUGCACAAGUCCAAACCACCGUAACCGAUUUUCUCUCAUCUUUCCUUCAAUUUCGGCUACUCCUACUUUACCUCGGAUAUCCUCAUUCCUAAUCUUAUCCUUUCUCAUGUGCCCACACAUCCAACGAAGCAUCCUCAUCUCCACUACACCCAUUUUAUGUACGUGUUGAUGCUUCACCGCCCAACAUUCCAUGCCAUACAACAUCGAUGAUAAUAUUUUUGCUCAUCAUCUGAAUACUCACAGUUUUCUAUUAUUUUCACAACCUUGUAUUCUUUAGUUUUGCAAUCAUAGCCAAAUCCCAUUCCUUGAAAGGUCGAUUCCAAUUCGAACUUUCCCUCGGGAGGGAAAGGUAGAAGAAGGCAAGAAUCUGGAAGUUGCCUAAACUCCCUUGUUACAGGAUUGUAUAAAAGAGCGUUUUCCUUACUAUUAGACAGACAAUCGCAUUGCAAUAACUGAUAUUCAAUACAUGAUCAUGAUCUUCCAAUGGAAACGGUAUAUAUUUAGGUUUUCAAUAUCAUAAUGAAGGUUGUGCUCUUCACUAUCAAUGAAAAGAUUAAUCAUAGACCAGAAAAAUUCUUGUUUCCAACUCUGGUCUGGGAAAAUGUGACCUAAGAACGGUUGAGAAGGAUACCAUUGGAGGAUGAGAGUUUGUUGUCCAUGGAACUACUGACGUGUUUGGCAACAAAACUUAGACUAUUGAUACGGGUGCACCAAGACUUGUGUAUGCAUUUGAAUCGCAUCAGAGAUUUGGGUGGUAACCUAGAUAUGAUUUCAACCAUCCUAUCUUCAAGAGUUUCACUUUCAUGCACCAGGGACAUUCCACAGGAAAUCUUCACACAUAUAUGACAUAUGUUGCACAAAAUCAGUAGCGACUUUGGUACAAUAGAAAAUGUAAGUUUGUGACCUUCACUAGAUUGCUCUGGUUACUAGUGUGGAUAAGUAUGUAAAUGGAUAGAGACAGGGAAGCAAAGACAAGAUGUACGUGGUUCACCCAGAUUGGCUACGUCCACGGAGUAGAGGAGUUCUCAUUAAUUGUGAAGGGUUUACACAAGUAUAGAUUCAAGCUCUCCUUUUGUGAGUACUAGUGAAUGAUUUAGUACAAAUGACAUUAGGAAAUAUUGUGGGAGAAUGAUCUCCUUUUAUAGAAGAGAGUUUCUAGCUUUGUUUUGACAUUGACACGUGUCAUGUUGUGAUUGGCUUCUGAUGUUGACACGUGUCUCGUUAUGAUUGGCUUCUGAUGUCGACACGUGUCGUGCUGUGAUUGGCCUCCUGGUUGGAGUGAAACUUUUCUAGGUCCUUGACGGUAUAACGUUGACCUGUGCUCAGUAAUUUUGGGAUUGGUCAAGUAUGGUACAAACAGUGCUCCCUUAAGUUCCCAAGUGAGGGAAGCUCCUUGGUUGGGGACUUGCAAGAUCCAAGCCGCUGAGUAAUCACAAAACUUCUAAGUACCGAAGUGUGGUAUCGUCUUCACUUGCCUUAUCUGUCUCAUAGGUAGAUGUGGCAUCUUCUCUAGAAGUACUUUUCCUCCAUCCAGGGGUGGUGUCUUUAACUAGUGAAGAUGCACAAGGUAAUGUAUCAAUUUGACUUGAAGCUUACUUGUAGUUUCAGGCUUGGUCAAGCGCGAUACAAACCAUGUAGUAGGAGUGAUAGGAUCAUAUUUAUAUAUAUUUUUACUUCAAAUUCACUCGUCUUUUCUUAGUUAGUUCCUUAUAUUUUUGAGCUAUUUACGUUAUUUUUGUGUUUAUAGGAUUUGUUAUGCAAAGAAAAUAAAAAUGGCUAAAUGAUUUUUAUUUAUCAAAAACGUGGCAGUGUGGUAGGUGGAGCUGGAUGAGUGGAUACCAUCUAGAAGAAUAAGUGCAGCUGGUAGGUGAGGGGAAAAGAAGAAAUAAAAAAAAAAGAAAGGGUGAGGCAUUAGCCUCGGAAGUGAAAAGAAUAAGAAGCAUAAAAGCUUCUGGGAAAGGGGGAAGAGAGGAGCUGCCCUUUGGGCAGCUCGCACAGACGCAGGAAGGAGGCGCGGACAGAAAAGAAAAGAAAAGCUGCCUUUGCAGCUGAGGCUCGGGGGGAGAAAGAUCAGAGCUGCCAUUUGGCAGCUGGUGCGAGAAGAAAGAAAACCAAGAAGCAAAGGAGCUGCUUGGCAGCUCGGCAGAGGAGGGACAGAAGUCAGAAGGAGAAAAUAUAAAGGGGGCCUCGGUGAGGAGGGGGAAGAACAGAGAGCUGCCCUUGGCAGCUUGAAGAAUAAAGAAGGAAUAAAGGCUGCACCUUGCAGCGACUUGGAGGAGGUUGCUGAGCAGAAAAGCUGCCUUGGCAGCGACUUUCAAAGCAGGAAGACAAAACAAGAAGCUGCCCUCUUGGCAGCUUGAAACCGAGAGAAAAGCAGCAAGCUGCUUUGCAGCUUUCCUUGCGGUGCAGCAAAGACAGAGAAGGGCGCUGCCCUUUUGGGCAGUUCUUGUGCAGCAGGUGAAGAAGCUGCUCCAAGCAGCAAGUGAGGGAGGACGCGAAUAAGGGCUGCCAAUCAGCACAGAAGAAACAAAUCUGCCACUUGGCAGCACGUGGACAGAAACAGAAGCUGCAAGCCUCUUCUCUCUCGGUUAAAUCUUUCCAACUUAUGUUUUACUUUUGGUUUAAUUUGAUAAUAAUGUGUAAUUAAAUUUAUUUUGGCUAGAGGUUAAUUCAAAGCCAUGAAUAUAUUUGUAAUAUGAAUUGAUUA